AAUAAAAUCCUUAAGGAAAAAAAAAAUAGCUAACUAGUUAAAAUGUUUGAAAAAAAAAUUCCCCUGCUGUAAUUUUUAUGUAACUUAGGUAAGCCUUCUGAGAAGCAGGGUGAAUAUUGUUGAGGGAGUUAGGACACCUGGUCCUCUGCUAGCUGGGCCACUGGCUCGUCAUGUAAUGAAAGGAGAGCAGACUUAACCCCUCCAUGCCUCAGGUUUUCCCAUCAGACACCUACCUCACAGGGGCACUGAGACAAAGAAUUUAUGUCUCUAAACAUAUUUAAGUGCCAUGAGUAACUUUUACUAACUAUAUUUCAUAGCUCGGUAAGAGUUCUAUGUCUUAUGAGCAAGGUAGGUGCUACAUGUGAAAGUCAUCUCCGUAGGUGUCAUAAUUAUGAACUUGUCCUCAGAAGGCAGUGAUAUCUUCAGGAAUUGUUUUCCAUAAUCCAUUCCUUUCUCGUAAAGGACAAUGGAAGUUCUUAGAAGAAUAUCCUCAAUAAAAGAAGAGUAACGUUUCUUUGCUGCUUCCCUCACAUCCCAGCCCCAGCCCUUUUCUGUUCAUCGUCAGAAAGAAUUCCCCUUUCCCCUGAACUUUUCAAGGGGUUUGUAUGGUAGUACCAAAGGGACAGUGCACAUCUAAAAAUGACACAUCCCCAAAGGGGAAUUGUGGAAGAUGUUUUGUUUCAUUUACUUGUUUUUAUUUUAAAAUGCAUUGUAAAUAUUCCUCGUUAGAGCCAUAUCAGAUACAAUAAACAUUUAGAGAGGUUCCAUGUUACAAAGUCAAGCAAUUAUCUUUGGAAUCUGCUCAUCUAAUCUAUGUCUAAAAUCUCAGUUUCUCAAUUAAUAGUUAUCUUGUUUAAUCAUCAGGUACCCCUGCCUCUACCUCUUUACCAGUCUUUCCUGUUAGAUGUCCUCCUCUGUCUGCCCUUCUGUCCCUCAGCUAGAAGUUGCAACAGAUACCAGGUUUUCCCAAUAAAGUAAAAGUUUGGUAUCAAAAGAAAUAUAUCAGUUUCCAUUCAUUUUAGUGCCUGACUAAAUCUAACGUGAUUUAUUUUAAACACAUGCUGCAUUUUCAUGUUUGUAUAUAAUUUUCAUAUGUCCAGAUAAUGAUUGGUUUGCUAUUUUUCUGUCCAAUCUAAUAAUUCUGGCUCUGAAAAUUAUUUUAAACUCAUGUGAUCAGUCUGAUGUGCCCAUAUGCCCCCAUUUAUUGGUUUGGUUUGGACAGUGAUUCUAGGAUGAAUACUACUUAGUAAAUAUGCUGUUUUGUACAAAGUAUGACAAUUCUUUUUUAGGGAAGUCAGUUUUUAAAAUUAUUGCCUUUUCUUUAUUAUUGUAGAAAUUUUUCAAAAGGAAGAAAAAAUUGGUUCUAAUAACCUAUGUGCUGCUCAAAAUAUGUCAUCACCUAGAACAUUAUAAUAGGUUGCUAUGAAAAUAACUGAAGUCUUCCUCAGGAGAAGGAAAGAAAAAGAGAAAGUAACAGCCAGAAUGGUAGAGUUCUGGAGGCCCCCACGAGCUCACUUGAGGGGGGCCCUACACAGCUGAAAUGCAACAAAACUGGUUUCUAGUAUUCUCCAGGGAUGUGGGCUUAGAACAAUUGGUAGGAAUAAGACUUAUUUUUGAACAUCCAAUUUGGGUUCUUCAAGUAAUCUCUAGACAUGGGAAUCCGUUUCCGAGACAGUUCAUGGGGCGUACCUGUGCACUUCUCGAGGUCUUCUCAGGAGCACUGAGCAACGGGAGAUGUGGUUUCACACCCAGAAUGAUUUCAUGUGCCAUUCUUUGUACACAGAGGUGAUUCUAUGCCUCUACCACCAGGAGAACUUCCACUUUAGGUUGUUUGUUCUAGUACUUGGGAAGCAUUUAUGCUCCGUUCAGAGACCAUCUUAUGAUGGCGGGCCGUUUGUGAGAUGGUUAGCCAGCGUUAGCAGUGUCUAUGGCUUUAGACCAGUCGGUUCCUUGCUCUCUGUGCAUGGUGCAUAUCAAGUCAGAAAGCCUAGAAACCAUUUGCAGAUGGCUUUAGACCAGUCGGUUCCUUGCUCUCUGUGCAUGGUGCAUAUCAAGUCAGAAAGCCGAGAAACCAUUCACAUUAAAGUCUAGAUGCAUGAGAAUCCUUGCUCUGAGUUGUUAGUGGGUCAGGAGGGGCUUCAUCUCUCCUCGUGGUAAAAUUAUCCAGCAGUACCUUUAGAGAUUGUCGAGGCAUGAACUAUGAGCUGCCUUUAAUCUUCAGAAGCUGUGUACAGAAGUCUAGGUAUACCACUUACCCCUUGAGAGAAAAAUAGAACCCUAACUUGAUGCUGAGGGGUUUUGUAUUUCUAUUUGCACUGUCCCCAUAGCCACUGACAUAGGCAAAUUCAUGAAAUAGAAUUGAUUCUCUACAUUUUCUCUUAAUUUUUGCCUUUAGGAAAAAUUAAAAUUCUUCAAAGACAGCUAGCUGUCACUGGUGCUGCCCCAAAGCUUUCCCAUUUGUAUGUAUUUUUUAUGAAUGAAAUGGUUGCUACGGGAAGGCCAAGGUUCACCUAAGAGUAUCAUGGUAUAAAUAUAAUGGUUUAGCAACUGUUUUAAUUUUUCUUUUCCUGUGCCAGAUAUAGACUACAAUCAACCCCUUUUCAGUAGCUUCUGUUCAUCGGCCUAUGUUUUCCUGGGCAGUAACUCCCAGAUGCUUUUCUUAGUGAUUAUAAAGCAAGAAAAUCUUAUCUGGGCCUAUGUUGCAAAGGUGGGUGGUCUACUUUCUGGCAAAUUGAGUUGGUGGAUUUUAGAUAAGCCUUUGGGGUUCCUGUCACAGGUUCCUGGGCUCUGAGGAAGGGUUGCACCUCUUUUACUCUGAGUGUUUUGAGUAUUUUUCAAGUGUUUGUAAGUUCUCUUACACUCCUCUAAUAAAAAUGAAAGCUAUCUGUCAAGGAAUGGCUUUGGAUGGUUCAGAGAUCUGGGGGAAAAGAAAUAAGUGCACCUGAGACAUUCAGUUGGUCUUUUAUUUAUUUAGAAUGAAAAGUAUUUUGAUAAGCUCCAAGACUUAGUACUGCUUUAAAAACACUCUGAAAAGAUGGCAACUGUCCCUCAGGAAAGCCAUAAAAGCUACUCCCAAUACAUCGCAAUUGCUUUUGAUUUUUAGUCCUUUGGAGCAAAUGUCUGAUGUUAUGUCUGAUGUUAUGUUUUUAGAGCUGUGGGGGGAAACGUCUAAACAGUUUUAGGGGGUAGUAUUGAAAUGAUUAUCUGGCUGAAUUACGUGUGAGCUAGAUUCUAGGGCAGCCGUCCAGGUCUUUUUCUGUUGUCCUGACAGUAACGCAGGUAGUGAGCCGUGUCUUGAAAAGUGAUUUGCUUAUUUCCUACUGACAUCUAAAGACAUUAGCCUUCUGUUUGGCAACCCUGGGGGUACCCCUCUGCACCGUGACUUAUUGAUGUUUUUUUAGACAAGGCUAACCUGGACGACUCUCUGUAUUUCUAGUUUCAGUAUUCAUAUACCAGCUGCUAAAAGAAAAACCAUAACUUAUAAUCUUGUCUUGAAAUUACUCCUAAUUGUGAAGUUCACCUAAAUUCUUCAUGUUUAGGGAGGAUUGCUGCUAGUAACGUCAGUUUGCAGUGUUCUGCUUAGGUGUGUGUCAUAUGGGAGUCUGGAAUCUGUAAUAAAUAUGAUUGUAUUAAUGUACUGAC
Non-coding RNA from Leptonychotes weddellii (Weddell seal), 3642 nucleotides. NCBI's taxonomy places the organism in Eukaryota, Metazoa, Chordata, Mammalia, Carnivora, Phocidae. The record is from RefSeq and is a predicted model, not a curated record.